Camellia sinensis is the source of this 1986-nucleotide non-coding RNA. NCBI's taxonomy places the organism in Eukaryota, Viridiplantae, Streptophyta, Magnoliopsida, Ericales, Theaceae. The record is from RefSeq and is a predicted model, not a curated record.
UGUCGCCAUUCCGUCUUAUUUCUUUCACACAGAUCUUUUCUCUGUUUUGUCUCACAAACACACAAAAACCAAUACACCAAACCAGACGCACGCUCACUGACGGUCACCACCUCACCGUCGCUGGCCACCGCUGCACGUCGCUGGCCACCGCCACACGUCGCCACCGCCGCAAAUCACCACCUCCACUGCCGCAAAUCACAGGUUGGAGGAGAUAGUGUCUGAAUUCCAUUAUCAAGUUCUUAGGAUUAUCGCUUAUAGUGUUAGAAAUGGGAAAGCACUUAUGGAGUGAAUCCGAAGAUGAGCUAGUUGAGGUUAAUUGUCCAAGCUGCAUGAGGGGAAUAAUUCAUGCUCUUGAUUGGCAUAACAGCGUUAAGAAGGUAUACCCCACAAAAAGCAUAAUGGACCAAAACAUACAAAAGUUUACUUUUGCAACCAUUCAUCAAGAAACGUUCACAAUCCCACCAUUCAUCAAGGAUUGCUUAUAGCAAGUUUUUAGUUUAACAAUCAAUGUGGAACAAUCUCCUUUAUUGGUACUUUUGGAGGUAUCCCACUGGUAUUUGCUUUGUCCCUACUUAUAUUCAAAGACUGAUCAGAAAGAGAGAUUCAUGGAUUCAUUGCGGAUUGUACUUUGUAAUGAAAAAGAAAACAGAGCAUGUAAUAUGAAGUGAGAAAAAAAUGGAACACAAUCCUAGAAAAUGUGCUAGCUAGUCUCCAAUCUCCAUACAUCAUCUAUGCAGGCAUGUAAGAUAUAUUAUUGCGGAAUUGCUUUUAGUUUUUCUAUUUGACUUGCUUUCUUUUGUUGAGUGCCUUUGUGUUUUCCCAAAGAAAGCAAUUCCAGCAAAUAAAGGUGCUCUCUUUCCAAAAAUGUUCUUUUCUCCUACAGUUGUGUACUGAUGGUGUGAUGACAAGAUAAAUGUUAAAAAGAAUUUUCAUGUCCACUUCAAUUUCCUUCUGAUGCUAAGUCAUUCAUACGUAAGAUCCUUGAUCCCAACCCUGAAAUUGUGAGUAUGAAGAUCCCAUCUAUUCUAUUGCAGGAACCAUAAAUUUGGAGUCCUUGAUGAGUGCAUCCAAGUUUUUUUUUUUUUAGGCUUGCAAAUGACUUGGGCAUCACAUUUGUUUCCUUUUCUCAGGUCUGCUUGGAAUGCUAUUAGAGUGCCUCAAGCUUGUGUUUCUUGGUGGUAUGGGGUCUGGUUUAGCUACAAUGUCCCUAAACGAGCCUUCAUUUUGUGGCUUUGCUGCUGGAAAAGAUUAGCUACUAAGGAUAGACUUCAAAGAUGGGGAAUGGAGGUUCAUUUGCUUUGUGUUCUUUGUAAUCUGUCACAUGAAUCUCAUGAUCACCUCUUUUUUGAAUGCCCGACUUUGUUAGAUUUGGGGGCAAGUGUUGAGGAAAUUUCAGGUUUCUAGAGUGCCCAUGAGCUGGUCUGCUGAAUUGGAAUAUUGCACUUCAAAUUUGAGAGGAAAGAGCUUCAAGGUUACUGUGUUUAAGCUUGCCCUUUCUGCUGCAAUUUAUCAUAUUUGGCUUUAAAAGAAUGCUAGGAUUUUUAGCAAUAAAGCUUCUGAUGCUUGUGUUGUUUUUCAUCCUGUGGUAACAAAUGUGAGGGAUAGAAGUUGUUCAUGGACUGGGGUGGGUAGUUCUCCCUCUAAUAAGGAUGUUUGUCAAGCUUGGAACCUUCCAUUGAGGAUUUUGAACAGUAGAGGUUAUAGGUUAUCGGUUAAUGCAGAGAGAUAAAAAAGCUACACUCGUUCGUUGGGGGCAAUUACUACAUCAGUUCCAGGAGCAUCAAAGGAUUAUAUUUUGAUUUUUUGGAUAUAUUUGUCAUAGGUUUUGUUAUAAAUUUGCAAGCUUAGAAGUUUUUUUGGAAUUACAUGUUUAAAGUUUGGGAUGGUAAGGGAUUUGUACUUUGGAUGUUUUGGAUUUGAUAUUUUGUUUAUAUUUAAUAUGCUACUACUUUUGAAUUAAGUUUAUAUUUUUGAUGCUUUGCACAA